Molecule: long non-coding RNA, 1245 nt
Organism: Carassius gibelio (silver crucian carp)
Lineage: Eukaryota; Metazoa; Chordata; Actinopteri; Cypriniformes; Cyprinidae
Exons: 2
Source: RefSeq, a predicted model, not a curated record
UUUCUUAUAUUAACUUAUGAGUUGUAUUUCUUACUCCAUGGGUGAUGACAUUAAGCUGAUCAGAAUACAGUCAUUGGAUGGCCACUAAGAUGCUUUUCAGGUGUCCCACACAAAUCAGUGUGUAAGCAAGGAGAACACCUUCACCUACUGAAGAUUCACGAAGAUGGGUCAGACUACCGUCCUAGAGAAGGUGCCAUAAGGAGCAGAGGUUUCUCCACAAAGGAAUGACACGUAAACUGAACAAGUCGUAAAGGCUCAGAUUGACCCACUGAACUGUGCUCACAUGCAGAGCUCAACCACAGGUAGAAACCCUGGAGACAUUCAUCCACCUGCCAAACUCAAGCGACACACACAUGCUGAGACUGAGUGUUCUGCAGAUGUUUACAGCCCUCAGAAGGUUUCUAAAGCUGCUUACAUCACAAAUACAAUUUUGAGAUAACAUCUCGAAGAUAAACAAUCAUCUAACAGUGACCCCAUUGGAUUCAUCUGAAUGUGACCCAUUGGGGGUCAAACGGAGGAACUGUAAGGACGAAAGACGAAAGAUACUUUGAUCUCCUGAGAAACAGACAAUACAAACAUACACGAGCAUCUUCGAGACACCCCACAGAGUGGAGGAGCAGGAGACCUCCUCCCCUUCUGGCCAUUUGUUUCAUUAUAAAUCCCUUCACCCAUUCUUCCUUCUACUCAGUCUGCUCAAAAUGAUUACAUGAAAAUGUCAAUGCAAGUGAACUAAUACUCAUGUCUAGUAUUAUUGGAAAUGUCUCAGUGCAACUGGUACAAUGGUCUCACUCUCACAAAAGUAGAUUAGAAGAUAAUACAGAUGUGAAGAGUCAAGAGAUAUCUUGAUUACUGUAAUGGGAGUGUCCUUUCCUAGGGCCCUCCAUGUAAAUUACCCCCUGUUCCCAUUGAGUUGUAAAACCACCCAGGCUUGGGACCUGAGGUAAUGCAAAUUCCAAUUGUUUAUGUCUUCAUCUCGGGGGAUGUUUGUCUUGGUCUGAGGUAUUUAAAGGAUUGCAGCAAAAGGAUCAGGGCGAUUUCUGUAGCCAGAAAGCCCGUAGUGUGUUGUGUGUCUCUUCACUUCAUACUAUGUAUUUUCUAAGGUCAGGUAUGCAUAUUUUACUUUUAGAUUCAUCUUUGAGAAUUUGAUGUUUUGUAUUGAUAUGAUUUGAUGUGUUUCAAUUGGAUAUGUAAUUGGCAAAAUACAUAUCUACCUGACUGUAAAUAAAUUGUUACAUUUUGAUUCUA